RNAcentral lists this ribosomal RNA (2919 nucleotides) under Staphylococcus aureus. Its description in RNAcentral is "23S ribosomal RNA". It matches the Rfam family "Bacterial large subunit ribosomal RNA". Lineage: Bacteria; Bacillati; Bacillota; Bacilli; Caryophanales; Staphylococcaceae. The record is from RNAcentral.
UUAAGUUAUUAAGGGCGCACGGUGGAUGCCUUGGCACUAGAAGCCGAUGAAGGACGUUACUAACGACGAUAUGCUUUGGGGAGCUGUAAGUAAGCUUUGAUCCAGAGAUUUCCGAAUGGGGAAACCCAGCAUGAGUUAUGUCAUGUUAUCGAUAUGUGAAUACAUAGCAUAUCAGAAGGCACACCCGGAGAACUGAAACAUCUUAGUACCCGGAGGAAGAGAAAGAAAAUUCGAUUCCCUUAGUAGCGGCGAGCGAAAUGGGAAGAGCCCAAACCAACAAGCUUGCUUGUUGGGGUUGUAGGACACUCUAUACGGAGUUACAAAGGACGACAUUAGACGAAUCAUCUGGAAAGAUGAAUCAAAGAAGGUAAUAAUCCUGUAGUCGAAAAUGUUGUCUCUCUUGAGUGGAUCCUGAGUACGACGGAGCACGUGAAAUUCCGUCGGAAUCUGGGAGGACCAUCUCCUAAGGCUAAAUACUCUCUAGUGACCGAUAGUGAACCAGUACCGUGAGGGAAAGGUGAAAAGCACCCCGGAAGGGGAGUGAAAUAGAACCUGAAACCGUGUGCUUACAAGUAGUCAGAGCCCGUUAAUGGGUGAUGGCGUGCCUUUUGUAGAAUGAACCGGCGAGUUACGAUUUGAUGCAAGGUUAAGCAGUAAAUGUGGAGCCGUAGCGAAAGCGAGUCUGAAUAGGGCGUUUAGUAUUUGGUCGUAGACCCGAAACCAGGUGAUCUACCCUUGGUCAGGUUGAAGUUCAGGUAACACUGAAUGGAGGACCGAACCGACUUACGUUGAAAAGUGAGCGGAUGAACUGAGGGUAGCGGAGAAAUUCCAAUCGAACCUGGAGAUAGCUGGUUCUCUCCGAAAUAGCUUUAGGGCUAGCCUCAAGUGAUGAUUAUUGGAGGUAGAGCACUGUUUGGACGAGGGGCCCCUCUCGGGUUACCGAAUUCAGACAAACUCCGAAUGCCAAUUAAUUUAACUUGGGAGUCAGAACAUGGGUGAUAAGGUCCGUGUUCGAAAGGGAAACAGCCCAGACCACCAGCUAAGGUCCCAAAAUAUAUGUUAAGUGGAAAAGGAUGUGGCGUUGCCCAGACAACUAGGAUGUUGGCUUAGAAGCAGCCAUCAUUUAAAGAGUGCGUAAUAGCUCACUAGUCGAGUGACACUGCGCCGAAAAUGUACCGGGGCUAAACAUAUUACCGAAGCUGUGGAUUGUCCUUUGGACAAUGGUAGGAGAGCGUUCUAAGGGCGUUGAAGCAUGAUCGUAAGGACAUGUGGAGCGCUUAGAAGUGAGAAUGCCGGUGUGAGUAGCGAAAGACGGGUGAGAAUCCCGUCCACCGAUUGACUAAGGUUUCCAGAGGAAGGCUCGUCCGCUCUGGGUUAGUCGGGUCCUAAGCUGAGGCCGACAGGCGUAGGCGAUGGAUAACAGGUUGAUAUUCCUGUACCACCUAUAAUCGUUUUAAUCGAUGGGGGGACGCAGUAGGAUAGGCGAAGCGUGCGAUUGGAUUGCACGUCUAAGCAGUAAGGCUGAGUAUUAGGCAAAUCCGGUACUCGUUAAGGCUGAGCUGUGAUGGGGAGAAGACAUUGUGUCUUCGAGUCGUUGAUUUCACACUGCCGAGAAAAGCCUCUAGAUAGAAAAUAGGUGCCCGUACCGCAAACCGACACAGGUAGUCAAGAUGAGAAUUCUAAGGUGAGCGAGCGAACUCUCGUUAAGGAACUCGGCAAAAUGACCCCGUAACUUCGGGAGAAGGGGUGCUCUUUAGGGUUAACGCCCAGAAGAGCCGCAGUGAAUAGGCCCAAGCGACUGUUUAUCAAAAACACAGGUCUCUGCUAAACCGUAAGGUGAUGUAUAGGGGCUGACGCCUGCCCGGUGCUGGAAGGUUAAGAGGAGUGGUUAGCUUCUGCGAAGCUACGAAUCGAAGCCCCAGUAAACGGCGGCCGUAACUAUAACGGUCCUAAGGUAGCGAAAUUCCUUGUCGGGUAAGUUCCGACCCGCACGAAAGGCGUAACGAUUUGGGCACUGUCUCAACGAGAGACUCGGUGAAAUCAUAGUACCUGUGAAGAUGCAGGUUACCCGCGACAGGACGGAAAGACCCCGUGGAGCUUUACUGUAGCCUGAUAUUGAAAUUCGGCACAGCUUGUACAGGAUAGGUAGGAGCCUUUGAAACGUGAGCGCUAGCUUACGUGGAGGCGCUGGUGGGAUACUACCCUAGCUGUGUUGGCUUUCUAACCCGCACCACUUAUCGUGGUGGGAGACAGUGUCAGGCGGGCAGUUUGACUGGGGCGGUCGCCUCCUAAAAGGUAACGGAGGCGCUCAAAGGUUCCCUCAGAAUGGUUGGAAAUCAUUCAUAGAGUGUAAAGGCAUAAGGGAGCUUGACUGCGAGACCUACAAGUCGAGCAGGGUCGAAAGACGGACUUAGUGAUCCGGUGGUUCCGCAUGGAAGGGCCAUCGCUCAACGGAUAAAAGCUACCCCGGGGAUAACAGGCUUAUCUCCCCCAAGAGUUCACAUCGACGGGGAGGUUUGGCACCUCGAUGUCGGCUCAUCGCAUCCUGGGGCUGUAGUCGGUCCCAAGGGUUGGGCUGUUCGCCCAUUAAAGCGGUACGCGAGCUGGGUUCAGAACGUCGUGAGACAGUUCGGUCCCUAUCCGUCGUGGGCGUAGGAAAUUUGAGAGGAGCUGUCCUUAGUACGAGAGGACCGGGAUGGACAUACCUCUGGUGUACCAGUUGUCGUGCCAACGGCAUAGCUGGGUAGCUAUGUGUGGACGGGAUAAGUGCUGAAAGCAUCUAAGCAUGAAGCCCCCCUCAAGAUGAGAUUUCCCAACUUCGGUUAUAAGAUCCCUCAAAGAUGAUGAGGUUAAUAGGUUCGAGGUGGAAGCAUGGUGACAUGUGGAGCUGACGAAUACUAAUCGAUCGAAGACUUAAUC